GAUGAACGCUGGCGGCGUGCCUAAUACAUGCAAGUCGAGCGAACAGACGAGGAGCUUGCUCCUCUGACGUUAGCGGCGGACGGGUGAGUAACACGUGGAUAACCUACCUAUAAGACUGGGAUAACUUCGGGAAACCGGAGCUAAUACCGGAUAAUAUAUUGAACCGCAUGGUUCAAUAGUGAAAGACGGUUUUGCUGUCACUUAUAGAUGGAUCCGCGCCGCAUUAGCUAGUUGGUAAGGUAACGGCUUACCAAGGCAACGAUGCGUAGCCGACCUGAGAGGGUGAGCGGCCACACGGGAACUGAGACACGGUCCAGACUCCUACGGGAGGCAGCAGUAGGGAAUCUUCCGCAAUGGGCGAAAGCCUGACGGAGCAACGCAGCGUGAGUGAUGAAGGUCUUCGGAUCGUAAAACUCUGUUAUUAGGGAAGAACAAAUGUGUAAGUAACUAUGCACGUCUUGACGGUACCUAAUCAGAAAGCCACGGCUAACUACGUG
RNAcentral lists this ribosomal RNA (497 nucleotides) under uncultured bacterium. RNAcentral describes it as "partial 16S ribosomal RNA". It matches the Rfam family "Bacterial small subunit ribosomal RNA", at positions 28 to 507 of the family's 1533-position model. The record is from RNAcentral.